AGCAGCCGCGGUAAUUCCAGCUCCAAUAGCGUAUAUUAAAGUUGUUGCAGUUAAAAAGCUCGUAGUUGAAUUUCGGGAUCAAUUAGUCGGUCGUGCCUCUGGUACGUACUGGUUUUAUUGGUUCCUCCCUUCUGACGAAACAUGAUGUCAUUAAUUUGGUGUCGUGGAGAAUCAGGACUGUUACCUUGAAAAAUUAGAGUGUUUAUAGCAGGCUAACGCUUGAAUACAUUAGCAUGGAAUAAUGAAAUAGGACGUUCGACCCUAUUUUGUUGGUUUCUAGGAUCGACGUAAUGAUUAAUAGGGAUAGUUGGGGGCAUUAGUAUUCAAUUGUCAGAGGUGAAAUUCUUGGAUUUAUUGAAGACUAACUACUGCGAAAGCAUUUGCCAAGGAUGUUUUCAUUAAUCAAGAACGAAAGUUAGGGGAUCGAAGACGAUCAGAUACCGUCGUAGUCUUAACCAUAAACUAUGCCGA
RNAcentral lists this unclassified non-coding RNA (471 nucleotides) under uncultured Entrophospora. RNAcentral describes it as "SSU rRNA". It matches the Rfam family "Eukaryotic small subunit ribosomal RNA", at positions 569 to 1045 of the family's 1831-position model. Lineage: Eukaryota; Fungi; Glomeromycota; Glomeromycetes; Entrophosporales; Entrophosporaceae. The record is from RNAcentral.